Long non-coding RNA from Anguilla rostrata (American eel), 2463 nucleotides. RefSeq lists it as uncharacterized. The record is from RefSeq and is a predicted model, not a curated record. NCBI's taxonomy places the organism in Eukaryota, Metazoa, Chordata, Actinopteri, Anguilliformes, Anguillidae. The transcript has 2 exons.
CAAAAAAUGGGUGGAAUAAUAAUAAUAAAUAAAUAAAUAAUAUGUGCAAUAAUAAUAGUGUGUUUGCCUAAGGCAACCACACUAAUAAAUAAAUAAAUAAUAUGUGCAAUAAUAAUAGUGUGUUUGCCUAAGGCAACCACACUAAUAAUAAUAGUGUGUUUGCCUAAGGCAACCACACUAAUAAAUAUGUGGGAUAAUAAUAGUGUGUUUGCCUAAGGCAACCACACUAAUAAAUAAUAUGUGCAAUAAUAAUAGUGUGUUUGCCUAAGGCAACCACACUAAUAAUAAUAGUGUGUUUGCCUAAGGCAACCACACUAAUAAACGUAAAUCAGUGAACUGAAAUAGAUUCAUUAAUGGUAAAUGGUAAAUGGACUGCAUUUAUAUAGCACUUUUAUCCAAAGCGCUUUACAAAUGAUGCCUCUCAUUCAACAGAGCAAUUAGGUGUUAGGUGUCUUGCUCAAGGACACUUCGACACGCCCAGGGCGGGGUUUGAACCGGCAACCCUCCGACUGCCAGACAAUCGGUCUUACCUCCUGAGCUACGUCGCCCCUUUUAAGCACUUAUCUAUUGAUUUCAUGUGAUUGGGAAUACAGAUAUGCAUUUAUUAAUCACAGAUUCCUCAAAAAAGAAGAUACCAUGAAAUGAACAGAAUACAGAUCAGUAUCUUGUGUGAUCAUCAUUUGCCUCAUGCAACGCAACACAUCUCCUUUGAAUUGAAUUGAUCAAAUUGUUGAUUGUAGCCUGUGGAAUAUUGUCCCUCUCCUCUUCAAUAGCUGUAUGAAGUUGUUGGAUAUUGGUGGAAACUGGAACACACUGUCGUAUGCGCCGGUCCAGAACAUUCCAAAAUGCUCAAUGGGUGACAUGUCAGGAUAUGCCUGCCCAUACCAACACCCCACCACCACCAUGGGCCACUCUGUUCACAAAGUUGACAUCGGCAAACCACUCACCCACCCGAUGCCAUACGUGCUACAUGCCAUCUGCCCUGUACAGCUGAAACCGUGAUUCAUCAGUGAAGAGGAUCGUUCUCCAGUGUGCCAGUGGCCAUCGAAGGUGAGCCCACUCACGUUGAUUGUGAUGCCAACCUGCAGACAAAUCAAGACCCCGGUGAGGACAUUGAGCACGCAGAUGAGAUUCCCUGAGGCGAUUUCUGACAGUUUGUGCAGAAAUUCUACGGUUGUGUAAACCAACUGUUUUAUCAGCUGUCUGUGUGGCUGGCCUCAGACGAUCCCGCAGGUGAAGAAGUUGGAUGUGGCGGUCCUGGGCUGGCGUGGUUACAAGCUGGAGGCGGCUUAUGGUGGAGAAAUGAACACCCAUUACUCUGGCAACAGCUCAGCAGGACAUUCCUGCAGUCACCAUGCCAAUUGCAUGAUCUCUUAACUCUUUAGGCAUCCGUGACGUGGUGUUGAACAACAAAAAACUCAACAUUUUAGUGUGGCCUUUUAUUGACCCCAUGAUAAGGAACACCUGUGUAGUGAUCAUGGCUUUUAAUCAGCUUCUUGAUAUGCCACACCUGUGCAGGAGAUGGAUUAUUUUGACAAAGGAGAAAUGCUAGCUAACAGUGAUAUAAACAAAUUUGUGCACAUAGUACAAAUCUUUGAGGUAUUAGUUAAACGCCAUUAAAAAUGGCUGCAAAAAAAAGUGUUGCGUUUAUAUUUUUGUUCAGUGUAGUUCACAGUUUUAACUGUUUUGUGAUGAGCAUGGCCCAGACUAUAUGCAUACCCAAUAGGAUUUACGGUGGAAAUCUUGAGAUAUGACCAUUUAAGAUCAAUAUAACUGUACAUUGGAUUAUAUGUCAACACCAAAUUUAGGAGGCUAUUAUAGUGGAUUUUUUCAUAAUUAGUUCAUAGUUUCAACAGUUUUGUGAUUCACACUAUAAGCACUAAUUUCAAUCAAAUAAUGAUUCCUAUGCUAUAGUAUCCUCACGCCCUUGAUAAACGCAAAGAGAAGAGAUAGUAUAAAAUUAACACUACAAGCACUAGGCUAUUUCUACGCUCAAAGAAUUUGGAAAAAUGUGUUCUUAAAUACCAUAACUGUUUACAGAUAAAAUUUCAUUUUAAACUGCAAUAUUGUUUUCCCCAUAAAUCACUGAUUCAAGACGAUGGCCUUUUUUUGUGAAACCACAUAUCAAACAAGCAUCUUGAUUUCAUUGCCCCAAUCACUUAGGCUAGGUUGUUAAAGUAAUGGACACUAAUUAAGCACAGACAGAGGUUACAAGCCACACUCAUGUGUUAAAUUCAAUCUGAUUAUUUAGGAACACAACUGCAGUAUUUUUUCAGCACUAUUUUCAAACAUUAUACAUGGGACAUGUUUGUUUUCUAAUUAAAUGAAUGCAUAGUAUUAUUACAAAUAAGUAUCAAUAUGUAACUGUCUAGCUAGCGAUCUCUCUAUCUCCCUCACUAGCUAGCCAGCAAACAAGUUGAAACUGCCGUCCAAGCGUCAUUUUCAGACGCUUAUCCCUGUACU